Molecule: long non-coding RNA, 2015 nt
Organism: Acinonyx jubatus (cheetah)
Lineage: Eukaryota; Metazoa; Chordata; Mammalia; Carnivora; Felidae
Exons: 5
Source: RefSeq, a predicted model, not a curated record
CGCGAACACAGCGCGAACCACGCCGCCCCGAGGGCUGGCGCUCAGGCCCAAUCUCGCGAGAGCUGGGCCUUGAGCGGCCGCGCCGGAACUGCGGCGGCGAGACUUGGCCCCGCGGCCCUGGCUCGCGGGGCUGUUGGCAGGUCCUCCUCCCUGCCGGAAUCCGCUGUGCCCGCUCGUCCGCACCUCUGCCCCAGUCACACCUCUACGGCCGGUCAGGUGGCUUAUUGAACGCCUGCGUUAGGUGCCAGGCCACGGAGUUGGAGCUGGGGACGCGGAAAUCAGUUAGUCGUGGCUGCUGGCUUCAAGGAACGCCCGUCCUAGCGAAGGAGAGAAACUUGUACAGACGGUGCGAUUAGGGUUUUAAGAGAGGUGUGGCCCGAAGGCUGCUGUGACCCAGUUGAGGGGGUGGUCAGAGACAGCCGCGAAAGGAAUCGGAGCAGUGCUUCGAGGGGUAGGAGUGCUUUGCGGGGAAGCAGAGGCCUUUCUAGGCAAAGACGCGGGCGGUGGAGAGUACGUGGUGUAGUGGAGCAGUGAGUGGCGAGUCCAGAGAAGGGGUCAUAAACCCAAAUGCCGACGGUGGUGGCGUAUAAAUCAUCUUAUGCAGGCUGGGCACAAGGAAACGAUGGGAGGCGCUAAGCAUGAACGAGGGAGCGAUCAUUUUCUCUGAAAGGAACGAUGGGUACUCAACAUCCGGCCAGUUUCCCUGGGAGAAGGAGCGCCCGGUGUUGAUUAUCUUCGCGCUUUCCAGGAAAAUACAGAAGUCUUGACGUAUGUGAACGUUCAAUCUCUAGAUGCUGGUAACUCGUUUUAAAUGCUGUAGCAGUGAAAGAAAAUGCCUCAGAAGAUUGGUUUCAGCCUGUGCGGAGGUUUUCAGCUUUUUCAGACGGAUUAUGUCUGUGUGGAGUGUGUGUUUAUGAAAAUCUGGAAGCUGGCUCAACUGGCUCCCCUUGGCUUGUACUUUCUACCACUGGUUCUUUUCACUUAAACUCCGAUGUGCUGAGAGUUCUGUAAUACUACUUUUGGCCUUUUUUAGUUUUAUGUGCGUUUCUCUUCUCUUAGGAGUUCGCAGCAGAGAACCUGUCUCCUUUGAACUAUGAAUUUCUAUGUGGUAGUAGGUACAGAGGUAGGCCCUGUAGGGUCAGAGAGGGUGAUUAAGAUAGUAUUGCUGACUUCCAAGUUCUUGGAAGUUAUACAUUAUAAUAAGAUAUAAUCGAGGUAUUUGUGAAAUAUGCGAGCAUAGAUGAAGGCAAAUUCGUUUCUUCUUGGAGGAGUUGAGAAGACUUCCCGUUGGAGCUAGACCACCAUAGGACUAAAAGUUUGGGAAAAAUACAGCAAAGCCAGAGAAAGGUCCGCGGGAGGAGGUGAAAGUGAUCUCACAGAAGGAUUGAGAACAAGAUGAAAACAUUAUGAUGCUUCACACUGAGCUGUUAAGAGGAAAUAUAAUUAUCAGCACUGCACCUGAAACUUUUAAUUGGGAACGCAGAGGAAAAGGAGAUCCUUCCACAAAAUAGCCAUGGAUGCUGUUGCCAGAUGUCCUGUCCUGCAUUAAAUGAUCCAUGAGUCUGAUCUGCCUGCUUGUUGAAACCUGGUUUUUGAAACGGCUUUAUUGAGAUAUAAUCCGCAUACAAUUCACGAAGUGCGAGGGGAAGGAGGAAGGUUGGAAAUCACUUAGCUCAGAAUCUGCAGUGGAAUUGCUACAGUAGACUCAAACAUGAUUUGAACAUCCCUAGCUGUGGGAUUUGGUGACCAGGCUCCUGAGGGAGGAUGACACAGCAUAGGGAAUGGCACGGACAGCCUGCCUUGCUUUAUAGAGAGCAGAGAUACAAAGUCCUUGUCGAGGUCACCGGUGCUGAGAAUACUCUUAAUGUAAAUGGACUUGGGUGACUUCCUUACGUGGAGCAAAUUUUCUCGAAGUAAUUCCGGAGUUGAGGUACUUUACGAAGUUUGAAACGAAUGCUAUUGACUUAAGCUUUCUUUUGGACUGUGGGAGCCCAUCAGCUCAUGGGUUGGAAGCU